GCGGGGGUAGCCAAGCCUGGUCAAAGGCGCAGGACUGAGGAUCCCAUAGGGGUUCGUGGGUUCGAAUCCCACCCCCCGCA
Molecule: transfer RNA, 80 nt
Filed under: Nitrososphaeria archaeon
Lineage: Archaea; Thermoproteati; Nitrososphaerota; Nitrososphaeria
Description: tRNA-Leu
Rfam family: tRNA
About the family: Transfer RNA (tRNA) molecules are approximately 80 nucleotides in length.
Source: RNAcentral